UAGCUCAGUCGGUUGAGCAUGAUGCUGACAACACCAAGGCUGUGGGUUCGAUUCCUGU
RNAcentral lists this transfer RNA (58 nucleotides) under Apaloderma vittatum (bar-tailed trogon). It matches the Rfam family "tRNA", at positions 8 to 63 of the family's 71-position model. Rfam says of the family: Transfer RNA (tRNA) molecules are approximately 80 nucleotides in length. Their secondary structure includes four short double-helical elements and three loops (D, anti-codon, and T loops). Further hydrogen bonds mediate the characteristic L-shaped molecular structure. tRNAs have two regions of fundamental functional importance: the anti-codon, which is responsible for specific mRNA codon recognition, and the 3' end, to which the tRNAs corresponding amino acid is attached (by aminoacyl-tRNA synthetases). tRNAs cope with the degeneracy of the genetic code in two manners: having more than one tRNA (with a specific anti-codon) for a particular amino acid; and 'wobble' base-pairing, i.e. permitting non-standard base-pairing at the 3rd anti-codon position. Lineage: Eukaryota; Metazoa; Chordata; Aves; Trogoniformes; Trogonidae. The record is from Rfam by way of RNAcentral.